RNAcentral lists this ribosomal RNA (1413 nucleotides) under metagenome. Its description in RNAcentral is "bacterial SSU rRNA". It matches the Rfam family "Bacterial small subunit ribosomal RNA". The record is from RNAcentral.
AGAGUUUGAUCCUGGCUCAGGACGAACGCUGGCGGCGCGCCUAACACAUGCAAGUCGAACGAGCGAGAGAGAGCUUGCUUUCUUGAGCGAGUGGCGAACGGGUGAGUAACGCGUGAGGAACCUGCCUCAAAGAGGGGGACAACAGUUGGAAACGACUGCUAAUACCGCAUAAGCCCACGGCUCGGCAUCGAGCAGAGGGAAAAGGAGCAAUCCGCUUUGAGAUGGCCUCGCGUCCGAUUAGCUAGUUGGUGAGGUAACGGCCCACCAAGGCGACGAUCGGUAGCCGGACUGAGAGGUUGAACGGCCACAUUGGGACUGAGACACGGCCCAGACUCCUACGGGAGGCAGCAGUGGGGAAUAUUGCACAAUGGGGGAAACCCUGAUGCAGCGACGCCGCGUGGAGGAAGAAGGUCUUCGGAUUGUAAACUCCUGUUGUUGAGGAAGAUAAUGACGGUACUCAACAAGGAAGUGACGGCUAACUACGUGCCAGCAGCCGCGGUAAAACGUAGGUCACAAGCGUUGUCCGGAAUUACUGGGUGUAAAGGGAGCGCAGGCGGGAAGACAAGUUGGAAGUGAAAUCCAUGGGCUCAACCCAUGAACUGCUUUCAAAACUGUUUUUCUUGAGUAGUGCAGAGGUAGGCGGAAUUCCCGGUGUAGCGGUGGAAUGCGUAGAUAUCGGGAGGAACACCAGUGGCGAAGGCGGCCUACUGGGCACCAACUGACGCUGAGGCCCGAAAGUGUGGGUAGCAAACAGGAUUAGAUACCCUGGUAGUCCACACUGUAAACGAUGAUUACUAGGUGUUGGAGGAUUGACCCCUUCAGUGCCGCAGUUAACACAAUAAGUAAUCCACCUGGGGAGUACGACCGCAAGGUUGAAACUCAAAGGAAUUGACGGGGGCCCGCACAAGCAGUGGAGUAUGUGGUUUAAUUCGACGCAACGCGAAGAACCUUACCAAGUCUUGACAUCCUGCGACGCACAUAGAAAUAUGUGUUUCCUUCGGGACGCAGAGACAGGUGGUGCAUGGUUGUCGUCAGCUCGUGUCGUGAGAUGUUGGGUUAAGUCCCGCAACGAGCGCAACCCUUAUGGUCAGUUACUACGCAAGAGGACUCUGGCCAGACUGCCGUUGACAAAACGGAGGAAGGUGGGGAUGACGUCAAAUCAUCAUGCCCUUUAUGACUUGGGCUACACACGUACUACAAUGGCGUUAAACAAAGAGAAGCAAGACCGCGAGGUGGAGCAAAACUCAGAAACAACGUCCCAGUUCGGACUGCAGGCUGCAACUCGCCUGCACGAAGUCGGAAUUGCUAGUAAUCGCAGAUCAGCAUGCUGCGGUGAAUACGUUCCCGGGCCUUGUACACACCGCCCGUCACACCAUGAGAGCCGGGGGGACCCGAAGUCGGUAGUCUAACCGC